RNAcentral lists this long non-coding RNA (1018 nucleotides) under Ornithorhynchus anatinus (platypus). RNAcentral describes it as "lncRNA (ENSOANG00000038461.1)". Lineage: Eukaryota; Metazoa; Chordata; Mammalia; Monotremata; Ornithorhynchidae. The record is from RNAcentral.
CUAUUGGAUGAAAGAUGCAAAAUAAGAUCGAAAGCUAUAAAAAGGAUGUAUGAGUAAAGGACUGAUAGUUACAGUCACAGAAAGCUUCUCCUAUACUGAACUAUUGUUUUUGUUAUCUUGGACUUCUCUGGUUUUGAGUCAGUGGUAUGUCUCAGUGGGUUAGGGAUCUAUUGGGUCUGGAACGGCAGCUUUCCUGUUCUAGGAUCCCAGACCAGAAUCCCUUGGUGAACAAGGGGUCCUAGGUAUCUUUGCAAGUAACAAGUUAAUGGGGGAAUGAGCAUUGAGAAGUGUGGCUUCAACCUCAUAAUAGAGUGAGAGAAUACCUGGGUGUAAAACCUUUUGGAGGUGUGGUUGUGGUUAGUAUUUCAGGGACAGAAGCAGACUAGGAGGAUAGGUCUUCCGUGGCAGUUCUCUCAGGAGCACUGAGAACUCACUGUUGCAGGUUGGUUUGGCUGGAUAGAGAACUAGACGUGUUUGAGGAGGAAACCCGUGAGGGUCGGUCACACAAAUCCUCAAAACUUUCUUUCCUGGGACCCUUUUGAUGUCCCAGCUGCUGGCUUGGCUGGGUAGUGAAGAUUUGAACUCCAGUGCUGGAAGCUUUCUCGGAUCAGAAGUAGGGAGUUUGCGAUUGCCGUUGGCAACCCCUGAUUGCCGUCACUGCUGACGCGGUCACCCUCCUGAUUCCUGGUGUGACGGAUGCGAUGUGUUCCUGGCUGACCAGGAAACCAGGUGUUGCCAUCACAGCUGUGGCCCAAGCGUUGGAAGUGGAGGUGGCACAGAGGAAGCAGCUGCAGCAGUAGGUUUGACAUACAACUCAACAAGAUUCUGGGAGAGAAGAGAGAGGAGCAAAAUCUUUCUUUUCCAUCUUCUGGCAUGGAACGAAGAGAGGGAAAGAACUGGCAGAGUAGAAGAUAAAGGCUUAUUGUAAUGGGAUUUUAGUAUUCUGUGAACCAGGUAAAAUUCUAAGCAGUGGGGAAAUAAACCAUUUUUUAAAAAAAAAUAUGUAUUUAUUAGUCCC